Molecule: non-coding RNA, 432 nt
Organism: Equus quagga
Lineage: Eukaryota; Metazoa; Chordata; Mammalia; Perissodactyla; Equidae
Source: the annotation of a RefSeq genome assembly
AUGAUGAAAUGCUCUAGAGUUUUAAUAGUGACUCUGUGGCUUCAGUUAACCUGUGUGAGGAGCCAACAGAAGGCAGUGGAGCAGAGUCCUGGAUCUCUGCGUGUUCCAGAGGGAGAUGUUGCCUCUCUCAACUGCACUUAUAGUGACAGCGCUUCCCAGUACUUCAUGUGGUACAGACAGUAUUCUGGGAAAGGCCCUGAGUUGCUGAUGUACAUAUACUCCAGUGGUGACGAGGAUGAAGGAAGAUUUACAGCGCAUCUGAAUAAAGCCGGCCAAUAUGUCUCUCUGCUCAUCAGAGAUUCCCAGCCCAGUGACUCAGCCACCUACCUCUGUGCAGAUCAAUACCAUGUAGUACAGAAGGUGACAUCAUCACAGAUCAGGAAGGAAGAUACACAUUCUGUUGAAGUUUUGAUUAUCACCUAUCUGAAAUGA